RNAcentral lists this small nuclear RNA (107 nucleotides) under Carlito syrichta (Philippine tarsier). Lineage: Eukaryota; Metazoa; Chordata; Mammalia; Primates; Tarsiidae. The record is from RNAcentral.
GUGCUCGCUUUGGCAGCACAUAUACUAAAACUGGAACAAUACAGAGAAGAUUAGCAUAGCCCCUGCACAAGAAUGAUAUGCAAAUUCAUGAAGUGUUCCAUAUUUUU